This 503-nucleotide ribosomal RNA is filed under the name uncultured bacterium. Its description in RNAcentral is "partial 16S ribosomal RNA". It matches the Rfam family "Bacterial small subunit ribosomal RNA", at positions 30 to 523 of the family's 1533-position model. The record is from RNAcentral.
AUUGAACGCUGGCGGCAGGCUUAACACAUGCAAGUCGAGCGGGGUGAUGGUGCUUGCACUAUCACUUAGCGGCGGACGGGUGAGUAAUGCUUAGGAAUCUGCCUAUUAGUGGGGGACAACAUCUCGAAAGGGAUGCUAAUACCGCAUACGUCCUACGGGAGAAAGCAGGGGAUCACUUGUGACCUUGCGCUAAUAGAUGAGCCUAAGUCGGAUUAGCUAGUUGGUGGGGUAAAGGCCUACCAAGGCGACGAUCUGUAGCGGGUCUGAGAGGAUGAUCCGCCACACUGGGACUGAGACACGGCCCAGACUCCUACGGGAGGCAGCAGUGGGGAAUAUUGGACAAUGGGCGGAAGCCUGAUCCAGCCAUGCCGCGUGUGUGAAGAAGGCCUUUUGGUUGUAAAGCACUUUAAGCGAGGAGGAGGAGCUCUAGGUUAAUACCCUAGAAGCUUGGACGUUACUCGCAGAAUAAGCACCGGCUAACUCUGUGCCAGCCGCCGCAGUAA